Lonchura striata (white-rumped munia) is the source of this 214-nucleotide non-coding RNA. NCBI's taxonomy places the organism in Eukaryota, Metazoa, Chordata, Aves, Passeriformes, Estrildidae. The record is from RefSeq and is a predicted model, not a curated record.
GCUCCUCGGCGGCGGUACGCGGGCGCGCAGCUCCCCGGCGCUGGCGAGAGGCUGGCUCCGGUCGGCUCCUCGCUCGGCGAGCUCUGCGGUCGCGGAGGCGGGUGCGGAGCUGGAAGUUGAAACAAGAAGAGGGGACUCAAGUAAUGAGGAAAUAAGCUGAAAACUGGGGAAAGAAAUGAACCCUAUGCCAAAAAUAAAGGCUUGCAUAAAUUGA